CGCCCGGCCGGACGGUAAGGCGGCGGAUUGCUAAUCCGUAGGGCCCGCAAGGGCCCACGGGGUUCGACUCCCCGGCGCUCCGCCA
RNAcentral lists this transfer RNA (85 nucleotides) under Mesorhizobium amorphae. RNAcentral describes it as "tRNA-Ser". The stretch from base 6 to 74 matches the Rfam family "tRNA", at positions 9 to 63 of the family's 71-position model. From Rfam's summary of the family: Transfer RNA (tRNA) molecules are approximately 80 nucleotides in length. Their secondary structure includes four short double-helical elements and three loops (D, anti-codon, and T loops). Further hydrogen bonds mediate the characteristic L-shaped molecular structure. tRNAs have two regions of fundamental functional importance: the anti-codon, which is responsible for specific mRNA codon recognition, and the 3' end, to which the tRNAs corresponding amino acid is attached (by aminoacyl-tRNA synthetases). tRNAs cope with the degeneracy of the genetic code in two manners: having more than one tRNA (with a specific anti-codon) for a particular amino acid; and 'wobble' base-pairing, i.e. permitting non-standard base-pairing at the 3rd anti-codon position. The record is from RNAcentral. Lineage: Bacteria; Pseudomonadati; Pseudomonadota; Alphaproteobacteria; Hyphomicrobiales; Phyllobacteriaceae.